UGGCUCAGUGGUAGAGUGCUUGCCUUGCAUGCAUGAAUGCCUGGGUUCAAUUCCCCAG
This 58-nucleotide transfer RNA is filed under the name Dipodomys ordii (Ord's kangaroo rat). It matches the Rfam family "tRNA", at positions 8 to 63 of the family's 71-position model. From Rfam's summary of the family: Transfer RNA (tRNA) molecules are approximately 80 nucleotides in length. Their secondary structure includes four short double-helical elements and three loops (D, anti-codon, and T loops). Further hydrogen bonds mediate the characteristic L-shaped molecular structure. tRNAs have two regions of fundamental functional importance: the anti-codon, which is responsible for specific mRNA codon recognition, and the 3' end, to which the tRNAs corresponding amino acid is attached (by aminoacyl-tRNA synthetases). tRNAs cope with the degeneracy of the genetic code in two manners: having more than one tRNA (with a specific anti-codon) for a particular amino acid; and 'wobble' base-pairing, i.e. permitting non-standard base-pairing at the 3rd anti-codon position. The record is from Rfam by way of RNAcentral. Lineage: Eukaryota; Metazoa; Chordata; Mammalia; Rodentia; Heteromyidae.